AUACGUAGGGAGCGAGCGUUGUCCGGAAUUACUGGGUGUAAAGGGAGCGUAGGCGGGAGUGCAAGUCAGAUGUGAAAUACCUGGGCUCAACCCAUGGGCUGCAUUUGAAACUGCAUUUCUUGAGUGAAGUAGAGGUAAGCGGAAUUCCUGGUGUAGCGGUGAAAUGCGUAGAUAUCAGGAGGAACACCGGUGGCGAAGGCGGCUUACUGGGCUUUUACUGACGCUGAGGAUCGAAAGCGUGGGGAGCAAACAGGAUUAGAUACCCUGGUAGUCCACGCUGUAAACGAUGAUUACUAGGUGUGGGGGGACUGACCCCUUCCGUGCCGCAGUUAACACAAUAAGUAAUCCACCUGGGGAGUACGGCCGCAAGGUUGAAACUCAAAUGAAUUGACGGGG
Molecule: ribosomal RNA, 396 nt
Filed under: uncultured bacterium
Lineage: Bacteria
Description: partial 16S ribosomal RNA
Rfam family: Bacterial small subunit ribosomal RNA
Source: RNAcentral